AAAGUCUGACCUGCCCUAUGAAGUUAAAUUUAAAUGGCUGCGAUAUCCUGAUCGUACAAAGGUAGCAUAAUAAUUAGUUUCUUAAUUAGGAACUGGUAUGAAGGGUCAUACGAGAAAAAGACUGUCUCAGUUUAAUUUUAAUUAAAAUUUUAUUUUUAAGUAAGAAAGCUUAAAUGAAUUUAAAAGACGAGAAGACCCUAUAGAGUUUUAUAUAUAUUAUUUAAAUUAAAAAAUUUAAGUAUUUUUUUUUUAACUUAAAUAAUAUAUAUUUGGUUGGGGUGAUUAGGAAAUUAAAUGAACUUUCUUUAUUAAGUGAUUCCAUUAAUUUAUGAAUAAUUGAUCCA
Molecule: ribosomal RNA, 344 nt
Filed under: Epirinus aeneus
Lineage: Eukaryota; Metazoa; Arthropoda; Insecta; Coleoptera; Scarabaeidae
Description: partial 16S ribosomal RNA
Source: RNAcentral